GCCGGACAUGGUGGCAUGUGCUGGUAGUUCCAGCUACUCAGGAGGCUGAGGCAGGGUGGAUCCCUUGGGUCCAGGGUUGUAGUGCACUACGCUCAUCAUGUGUCCUCACUAAGUUCGGCAUCAAUAUGGUGACCUCCUGGAAGCAGGGGACUACUGGAUUGCAUAAGGAAGCAUGAACUUGCCCAGGUCAGAAAUGAAGCAGGUCUAAAGUCCCAUGCUGAUCAGUAGUGGGAUGGUGUCUGGGAAUAACCACUGCACUCCAAACUGGGGCAACAUAGUGAUACCCUGU
Molecule: unclassified non-coding RNA, 289 nt
Organism: Rhinopithecus bieti (black snub-nosed monkey)
Lineage: Eukaryota; Metazoa; Chordata; Mammalia; Primates; Cercopithecidae
Rfam family: Metazoan signal recognition particle RNA
About the family: The signal recognition particle (SRP) is a universally conserved ribonucleoprotein. It is involved in the co-translational targeting of proteins to membranes. The eukaryotic SRP consists of a 300-nucleotide 7S RNA and six proteins: SRPs 72, 68, 54, 19, 14, and 9.
Source: Ensembl